CCCUUAGAUGUCCUGGGCCGCACGCGCGCUACACUGAACGGAUCAGCGCGUUUUCCCUUCCCGAGAGGGACGGGUAACCUGCUGAACCCCGUUCGUGGUAGGGAUCGGGGCUUGCAAUUAUUCCCCGUGAACCAGGAAUGCCCAGUAAGUGCAAGUCAUAAGCUUGCGUUGAUUACGUCCCUGCCCUUCGUACACACCGCCCGUCGCUACUACCGAUUGAACGUUUUAGUGAGGUACUCGGACUGAGCCUCAGAAGAUUCACGUCUUUUGUGCUGCUCGGGAAGAUUCCCAAACUUGAGCGUUUAGAGGAAGUAAAAGUCGUAACA
Molecule: ribosomal RNA, 326 nt
Filed under: uncultured eukaryote
Lineage: Eukaryota
Description: partial 18S ribosomal RNA
Rfam family: Eukaryotic small subunit ribosomal RNA
Source: RNAcentral